This is a long non-coding RNA of Onychostoma macrolepis, 1166 nucleotides long. RefSeq lists it as uncharacterized. Lineage: Eukaryota; Metazoa; Chordata; Actinopteri; Cypriniformes; Cyprinidae. The transcript has 4 exons. The record is from RefSeq and is a predicted model, not a curated record.
AUUUAUUUUAAGACAACAGGUCUGAAGUUGUAUUGUUUAUAGCUGCACUGCUUUUACUCUAUUGGUCGGAUUUUGUAUGUUUUUUUAAUCUAGUAAAUAAUUGUUUAAUCUCCAGCAUUUGAUGCAAUGAACUGAUUGAGUACAUGCAGAAAUCUGCCUUUUCAACAGAGAAUAAAGAAGAGAAACAUUAAAUAAAUAGUUAAAAGGUGAAAAACUAAACAGUAGCUUCCAGCAAACAUAACUAGUGUGAUUCGAAACAGACUGUAGUUCUUCAAUAAGAUGAGCAUCAUAAAUCUGAAGUAUUGUGUUUUCUCUUUCUGUCUUCAGUCUGUGUGGAUGCAGUAUUACAAAGAAACAGAGUCUGAUCCUGACUUCAGCUCUGAAAUCAAACCCAUCACACCUGAGAGAACUGAACCUGAGGAGGAAUAAUCUCGGAGACUCUGGAGUGAAAAGCCUCAGUGAUCUACUGAUGAACACACAAUGCAAGCUGCAGAAACUAGAUCUUGUUGACUGUGGCAUUACAGAUGUUUCUUCUUUAACUCAGUCUUUGAGAAACACAAAAGCGCUGCAGUUUCUAAAAGAGCUUGAUCUGAGUGAGAAUAUGAUUGGAGACUCGAAGCAGCGGCUCAUUGAUGUGAUACGAGACUCAAACUGUAAACUGAGUGUAGAUGCUCAAUCUCCAAAAGAUGAUGGCUGCUGUAUAUCAUAGUUUGAGAUGAUGAUGAGAGGAGCAGUGAACAUCAGGUGGAACAGAGGAAGAAGCUCAGAUGAGUCUGUCUGGAUCUUCAGUUUAAGAUCUACAGAUAUAAUAAUAUUUGUAUUAAACUCAUCCAUAAUGAUUCAUGUGUUUCUAAUCAUAAAUGUGAUUGUCAAGUGCAGCACUUAAAUGUAUCAAAAGAUAUAAAGCAAAUCUACAAUUUCCAUGUCACUUAAAACAUUCACAUGAUCUCUCUCUCAUUUUAUACUCAUUGUUACUCUGUUAUAUUAUAUUAAGUUAAUUAUGUGUGUGUGCUGUUAAUGCACAGAUAUCCAGUAUAUUGUCAGAUGAAGAGAGAUUCUUUCUUAAAUAAAUGCAUGAAACAUAAAACCGUGUGAGUGAUUGUAACAACGGAGUUCAGGAUCCAAACGCAAGGCUUUAUUAAAUCUCCUUUGUUUUCCUCUUUUUC